This is a long non-coding RNA of Homo sapiens (human), 546 nucleotides long. Ensembl annotates it as HNF1A antisense RNA 1. Its record names the gene HNF1A-AS1. NCBI's taxonomy places the organism in Eukaryota, Metazoa, Chordata, Mammalia, Primates, Hominidae. The record is from Ensembl.
AUUAAAGAAAACCCAAUCGGGGCAGGCGGGAAGCACUCCAGCCUCCUUGCAAGCUUGGGGCGCCUCAUUCUCUCCCGUGCCCCUUCUCCCAGCUGGGUCUGAGCCCCCGCCCCCCUGGCUCCUCCGUUCUGCUUCUCCCAGCUUCUCUGUCCAUCUCCCCCAAUGGCCUCUCUCUACACUCUCUGCCUCAGCUUCCAGGUCUCUGCUGGUCCCUAGGAAGCACUUUGACCUCUGCUUCCCCUUCAAAUGCUGUGGAUCAAGCCUCCCCAACCCCACCAUCCCACCAAAGGGGGCUGCUGACCGAGAGAGCUCACUCAGCCAGAGCCAGAUUCUUACUCUGUCACCCAGGCUGGCAUGAUCAUAGCUCACUUCAGCCUAGAACUCCUGGCUUCAAGCAAUCCUCCCACCUCAGCAUCCCAAGUAGCUGGAACUACAGGUACGCACCAUCAUGCCCAGCUUCAUUUAUAUAUUUAUCUUUUUUGUUUGUUUUUUGAGACAGGGUCUCCUUCUGUCGCCCGAGCUGGAGUGCAGUGGCACAAUCUUGGC